Molecule: long non-coding RNA, 299 nt
Filed under: Lathyrus oleraceus (garden pea)
Lineage: Eukaryota; Viridiplantae; Streptophyta; Magnoliopsida; Fabales; Fabaceae
Description: Pisum sativum (pea) long non-coding RNA (PSAT_LNC021825)
Source: RNAcentral
UUCAUUCAUAUUUUUCUUCUCCUUUCUCUUUUUUUUUUUUUUUCAUUUUUUUCCCUCUCUGACAACUAAUUGAGCAUUUAAGGGAAUAUGAGAUAUUACAGUUUUCAUUCAUAUUUUUCUUCUCCUUUCUCUUUUUUUUUCUUUUUUUUUCAUAAGGAGUAUGUAUUGACAUGUAUACAUCCUUCUAUUUUUUUUUCAUUCAUUUUUUUCUUUUAUAUUUUUCUUUUCUUUUUCUACCAACUUCUGAAAUAUUACAAACAUAAUUAUUCAACCCCCACACAACUCCAAACAAGACUCUU